RNAcentral lists this unclassified non-coding RNA (160 nucleotides) under uncultured Myrothecium. RNAcentral's name for it is "sequence contains ITS1". The record is from RNAcentral. Lineage: Eukaryota; Fungi; Ascomycota; Sordariomycetes; Hypocreales.
CCGAGUGAAAACUCCCAAACCCCAUGUGAACCUUACCUAUCGUUGCUUCGGCGGUGACGCCCCGGCGCCCUCGGGCCCGGAGCCAGGCGCCCGCCGGAGACCCCAAACCCUCAUGUUUUAGUGGUUUUCUCCUCUGAGUGACACAUAAACAAAUAAAUAA